Long non-coding RNA from Homo sapiens (human), 1316 nucleotides. Ensembl annotates it as PABPC4 antisense RNA 1. Its record names the gene PABPC4-AS1. The record is from Ensembl. NCBI's taxonomy places the organism in Eukaryota, Metazoa, Chordata, Mammalia, Primates, Hominidae.
AGAAUACUGCCAGCCGGCAGGUUCCCAAGAGCUGUGACCAAACAGCACACCCACCUGUGGGACUGCUGGCACAAAGUAGCCACCCGCUGCAGGCUGGAACUGAUUUAAGAUGGCAUUGGCAGGAAGUGCUCUCAUUCCAGCCACUCGUUGCAUAUACUGGUUGGUCAGUGAUAUCUGUAGAUCAACCACUGCACACACAGACAUUAUAAAGAUAACCCAUCCUCUGGCAUACUGAAUGACACAAAGGACAAAAAUUAUUUUGGCUUGUAAUAGCCAAGACUUAUUGUCUCUUCUUCUCCCCAUAUGGCUUUGAUUUGUCCAGGUUCUUGAUGAAGACGUUUCCCACACCAGAUUUUCUCAAAGAGGGAUCCCUCUGAGACCACAUGAUGCGGAUUGGCUUUCCCUUAAUCACAUCAAAGUUCAUGGUGUCCAAAGCCCGCUCAGCUGUAAGAGAGAAACACAUUUCAAUAAGGAGAGAAAACGUCAGCUCCCACAGGCCAACAGCCUAAGAACAGAUUACUCCAGGACUUUUCAAGUGAGGUAUUGCAUCAAAGUUAUCAAGUCAUUUAGUCUGCAAUCCACCUAUGGAGACAAGUGACAAAACCUGUAAAGCAAAUGAUCUGGAAAAAAAAAAAAAGGUGCUAUCCCUGAAUUCAGAAUUCAGUCCAGUUUAUUUUCAAUUUCUGAGAACAGAAAUUGACUUAAACAAAAAAGCAUCAGUCAUCAAAAUGGACACAACUGAUCACACAUGGAAAAGUUCUCUGUACUAUCACAAGGAUAAAACCACCAUACCUUCUGCCUAAGUAGACAGUGCGCAGAUGGCAGGCCCUGCACCCACCUUUUGAAGCCUUAAUGGAAGUUCUGUAGAAUUCUAGGACUUCAGCUACCCUGGGUGCUCAACCAACUUCCCCAUCCAACACCUUGGAAUGCUUCCUUAGCUUCCCAACCAAGUCCGUGUGUACACCAGAGACAAUUUAAAGAACCAAAGGCUGGGCUGGGUAUGGUGGCUCACUCCUGUAAUCCCAGCACUUUGGGAGGCCAAGGCGGGUGGAUUACCUGAGGUCAGGAGUUCGAGACCAGCCUGACCAACAUGGUGAAAACCCCAUCUCUACUAAAAAUACACAAUUAGCUGGGCAUGGUGGCGGGUGCCUGUAAUCCCAGCUACUCAGGAGACUGAGGCAGGAAAAUUGUUUGGACCCAGGAGUCAGAGGUUGCAGUGAGCUGAGAUCGCGCCAUUGCACUCCAGCCUGGGCAGCAAGAGUGAAACAGUGUCUCAAAACAAACAACAACAAAAAGAACCAAAAGCUAAAAAAUAA